Long non-coding RNA from Salarias fasciatus (jewelled blenny), 341 nucleotides. RefSeq lists it as uncharacterized. NCBI's taxonomy places the organism in Eukaryota, Metazoa, Chordata, Actinopteri, Blenniiformes, Blenniidae. The record is from RefSeq and is a predicted model, not a curated record. The transcript is spliced from 3 exons.
GACGGAGUGGAUCACAAAGCUAACUUCUGCUAACUAUCAAAAUAACACUGCAAAGGAAUCAGCACAUCAGCGAAAAUAAUCUCCAGCUUCUGUAUCGAUGGCUGCUGUCACAGCUGCUCGGACUCCACGACAAAGGCUUUCGACUUCCCUGUGUUACUCUCGUGUCCUUCCUUUCUUCAUUUGCACACGACUGUGUACGGAGCUGUCCUGCUGUUGAGAGAGCAGGAUGAGCAUGCGUGGAGCAGUGGCCGGCUGUGUGGUGCUGAUGUGCCUGGUGGCGCUGCAGCUCGAGAGGACGGAGGGCCACAUUACUUUCUUCAGCCCCAAGGAGAUGAUGCUGA